UAGGGAAUCUUCGGCAAUGAGGGCAACCCUGACCGAGCAACGCCGCGUGAGUGAAGAAGGUUUUCGGAUCGUAAAGCUCUGUUGUAAGAGAAGAACGUGUGUGAGAGUGGAAAGUUCACACAGUGACGGUAACUUACCAGAAAGGGACGGCUAACUACGUGCCUG
This 165-nucleotide ribosomal RNA is filed under the name uncultured bacterium. Its description in RNAcentral is "partial 16S rRNA". It matches the Rfam family "Bacterial small subunit ribosomal RNA", at positions 355 to 511 of the family's 1533-position model. The record is from RNAcentral.